This 397-nucleotide ribosomal RNA is filed under the name uncultured bacterium. RNAcentral describes it as "partial 16S ribosomal RNA". It matches the Rfam family "Bacterial small subunit ribosomal RNA", at positions 338 to 733 of the family's 1533-position model. The record is from RNAcentral.
CCUACGGGAGGCAGCAGUGAGGAAUAUUGGUCAAUGGCCGCAGGGCUGAACCAGCCAAGUCGCGUGAGGGAUGACGGUCCUAUGGAUUGUAAACCUCUUUUGUCAGGGGGCAGAGGGCGCCACGUGUGGCGUUUUGCGAGUACCUGAAGAACAAGCAUCGGCUAACUCGGUGCCAGCAGCCGCGGUAAUACGGGGGAUGCGAUCGUUAUCCGGAUUUAUUGGGUUUAAGGGGUGCGCAGGCGGAAUGUCAAGUCAGCGGUAAAAUUUCGGGGCUCAACCCCGUCGUGCCGUUGAAACUGGUGUUCUAGAGUGAGCGAGAAGUAGGCGGAAUGCGUGGUGUAGCGGUGAAAUGCAUAGAUAUCACGAAGAACUCCGAUUGCGAAGGCAGCAUACCGGA